UCCGCUCGAUGGGUCACUCGGUCGCCUUCAAGCACCUCCCUAUAGAAAGAGGGCAAGCUCGUCGAGGGAGUCGAUGUGAGGUGCGGGGAGGGACAGGUGAGCGCGGUCGCCGUCGGAGGCAGAGGGCGAGGCGAGCGUAGCGGGGCGCGCGCGCCCAUUUAAUUUACCGGUGCCGCCGCGAGGCGAAGGGCGGCAAGGAGAGGAGCGCGCGCCACGGAUGGUGGUGGCGGCGGUGGACGUGCGCCUUCUGCCGCAGUCGGUGGGAGUCCCAGCGGCGCGUCGGGCUUAGGCGGGGGCAGAGACGGGGGCGGAGGUGGAGGCUUCUUGCCGGCCUCAAGAGCGGCGGCCGUCCCAAGCGCGGAGGCCACGGGUUCGCGAAGCGCCAGUUCCUACCGGUCGAGCGGUCGCAGCGGCCGCGCCGGGAGCGGGACGGAAAGGCGGAGCCGUGGCCGGAGAAGCAGGAUCCUAUGAGCCAUAGUGAUCAGAGGCGCCUAUUUUAUGGGAGUCUGGUUAUGAGAGACCUUAAAGAUCCAGAUUUCCAAUUCCUCUGGAGUUUCUAUCUAGUCACGGCAGCUGGUCUUUUUGGAUAACUCUACAUGCUCAAACUUCCGACAGGUAAAACAGCUUUCCACUCUCUCUACCAUAGGCAGAACCUGGAACUACAAAAUAAAAUGGGGACAGGAGUUUUCCCCGGUUGUAAAGCAGGGUUCCAAAAUCUCUACCCACCCUUUUUUGUCAAGGGAAUGUACCACCUAGGUUUGUGGCCUCAACGGUACAUACUUAGUCUACGGUAAUAUUUUAUGGAACGCCUGUGUAUGCCACUACCUUGACAGGGCUAAUACGAUAGUGAACCAGAUAAAUGCUGUUAUUGACGUCCCGAACGAUACUAAACCGCACAUACCUUCCCUAGAAGGAUGUGACAAAGUUUCGAAGGUGGGGUCGGCUAUCUCUAGACCCGUAUGCUCCCUAGAGGAAAGACAUUUAAUCGUGCUCUCCGGGAACAACUUAACCUCAACGGUGUGAACGAUGUGUCGACACGAGCACCGUCGGGGUUCGCUGUCCUUUAAAAGUUCUUUGUACCGUAAAAGGUCCGCGGAAUAUAACUCCUAGGAUUGUGCCCCCACUUCUACAAGCUUUCGCGACUCUAGUAUCUCAUGGAUUCCCGUUGUAUAAGGGACAUAGGAGUCAUGGUUUUAGAGACUUCACAGCUAUAUAUCAUACUCAAAUCUUAUUUAAGAAAUGUUAUUUGGCGACUCAGCGUUUACGUUACAUUGUCAACAUAAGUAGGUGAACGAUAUCUACCGCUGAACCCCAAUAUACCAUCUCUUCCUUCUUUGCCCGGUUCAUAAGAGCUCAUGGCAGUUAACAGUGGGAACUCUAAAAAAUACCACCACGCUUUGGUACACCUCUACUUUAAAACAUCGUACCCCUUGUACAACCUAAAUACUACGUUUCCUUCUGUAUACAUUACACAUUUUAGUAUGUAUACGUUUAUUCCAUCAUAAGGGAGGCAAAAUUUAUAACAAAUAUUUAUAUUCUGGAAAGUCUCUAAAGUUAUGUUUGAUGUAUAUCUACAUAUAUCUACGUAAAAUCUCACAUCUAAGUGUGUAAAAAACGAAGCAUACAUCAGAUAUAACCUUAGAGAUUUUCCAGAAUAUAAAUCCUUGCUUCCCUCAUCUUUAAUCUUUAUGAAUAAAGAAACGUCUCUCUUUGAUCUUUAUGAAGAAAACAUCUCUUUGAUCUUUAUGAAGAAAACAUCUCUUUGAUCUUUAUGAAACUUCUCUACU
This 1787-nucleotide ribosomal RNA is filed under the name Triticum aestivum (bread wheat). Its description in RNAcentral is "partial small subunit ribosomal RNA". The record is from RNAcentral. Lineage: Eukaryota; Viridiplantae; Streptophyta; Magnoliopsida; Poales; Poaceae.